CCUACGGGAGGCUGCGGUGGGGAAUAUUGGACAAUGGGCGAAAGCCUGAUCCAGCCAUGCCGCGUGUGUGAAGAAGGCCUUCGGGUUGUAAAGCACUUUCAGUGGGGAAGAAAGCCUUGGGGCUAAUACCCUCGAGGAAGGACAUCACCCACAGAAGAAGCACCGGCUAACUCCGUGCCAGCAGCCGCGGUAAUACGGAGGGUGCGAGCGUUAAUCGGAAUUACUGGGCGUAAAGCGCGCGUAGGCGGUCUGAUAAGCCGGUUGUGAAAGCCCCGGGCUCAACCUGGGAACGGCAUCCGGAACUGUCAGGCUAGAGUGCAGGAGAGGAAGGUAGAAUUCCCGGUGUAGCGGUGAAAUGCGUAGAGAUCGGGAGGAAUACCAGAGGCGAAGGCGGCCUUCUGGACUGACACUGACGCUGAGGUGCGAAAGCGUGGGUAGCAAACAGGAUUAGAUACCCCAGUAGUC
This 465-nucleotide ribosomal RNA is filed under the name Vreelandella stevensii. Its description in RNAcentral is "partial 16S ribosomal RNA". It matches the Rfam family "Bacterial small subunit ribosomal RNA", at positions 338 to 795 of the family's 1533-position model. The record is from RNAcentral. Lineage: Bacteria; Pseudomonadati; Pseudomonadota; Gammaproteobacteria; Oceanospirillales; Halomonadaceae.